UACGUAGGGACCGAGCGUUGUCCGGAUUCAUUGGGCGUAAAGAGCUCGUAGGCGGCUGCUCAAGUCGAAUGUGAAAACUCGAGGCUCAACCUCGAGCCUGCAUUCGAUACUGGGCGGCUAGAGUCUGGUAGGGGGAUCUGGAAUUCCUGGUGUAGCGGUGGAAUGCGCAGAUAUCAGGAGGAACACCGGUGGCGAAGGCGGGAUCCUGGGCCAGUACUGACGCUGAGGAGCGAAAGCCAGGGGAGCGAACGGG
Molecule: ribosomal RNA, 253 nt
Filed under: uncultured bacterium
Lineage: Bacteria
Description: partial 16S ribosomal RNA
Rfam family: Bacterial small subunit ribosomal RNA
Source: RNAcentral